AAUUGAUCCGGCUAUUGCUUAGAAACAUCUUCUAUGGUUCUUUAAUGAUUGUCUAAGCAAUAAAUCAUCAUCAAUCUUGGUAUUCUUGCUCCGGACGGAGUGUGCUCGUGGAUUCGAGUGGGCGUCAUGGAUUCGGCGUGAUCAAGGCUUCGUGGAUUCGAAGUGUGGACGUUUCGUGGAUUCGGGACGUGGCGUUCGUGGAUUCGGACGUGGGGCGUGGACAACCCGUUGGUGUGCGCGAGAUCCGGAGAAGAUAAAAGAGAGGUUUGAGUCCGUGGAAUCGGUAAAUCACCUUGUAAUCUUUUAUUCUUAGUGAAUUGUUAUUGCGUGUUGGUCCCGUGGUUUUUUACUCCUAGUUGGAGUUUUCCACGUAAAUCUCGAUGUGAUUUUUAUUUUUUCGCAUUUACUGUUAUCGCAUUGAGCUUUGUGGUUUUCGGCUUUACACCUAUUCACCCCCCUCUAGGUGUUAGAUACAAUCUAGAUCGAUCCCUGGGCUACCCCAAAACUUACAAUUGGUAUCAGAGCGGGAUCUAGAUAAAUUGUUGUCUAAUGGCCGAAGGUGAAAACAUUAAUCAACCACCGCUCUUCGAUGGCACAAACUAUGCCUAUUGGAAAGUUCACAUGAGAGCUUUUCUAAUUGCAAUCGAUGAGCGCGUUUGGCAAUCAAUAAAAUUUGGAUGGAAACAUCCUAUUGAAAAGGUCGAGAAUGUUGAAACGCCAAAACCACGAAACAAGUGGACAAAAGAUGAAAACAAGGCAUCUUCGUUUAACGGCAAAGGCAUAAACGCUUUAUUUAAUGCAUUGUCUCAAACGGAGUUUACUCGAGUUUCAGCGUGUGGAACCGCCAUAGAAAUUUGGGAUACUCUACAAGUUAUGCAUGAAGGAACGAGCUUAGUAAAGGUCUAAAAUUUGCAAAUGUUAACAAGUAAAUUUGAUUCAAUUUUUAUGGACAAAAAUGAGACCUUUACCGAGUACUAUACACGUCUACAAGACGUUGUGAAUACAUGCGCUAAUUUGGGAGAGAAAAUCCCGGAUGCUAAGGUUGUUAGAAAGAUUCUUCGAACUCUUCCGGAACGCUUUCGGGCAAAGAUUGCUACGAUAGAAAUCGUUAAGCAUCCGGACGAGGUGAAAGUCGAAGAAUUAGUAGGCGCCCUACAAACGUAUGAGAUGACAUUUCCUACUAAUCAAUCUUUUGCCAAGUCUUCUUCUAAAAGUACAAGGGUUGUACUCAAAUCGACAAAGAAAGAAGACAACGACUCGAAUUCCGACGGAGAUGUUUUGCUUGCUGACUUCGAACAUCAAUUAGCGCUCCUCACGAAGAAAUUUCGCCUGAAUUUCCGAAAGAAGAACAAUUCGGACAAAUCUUCAUCUUCGAAGAUUAAAUCCUUUUCUAAGCAUUCUUCUAAUUCAAUAUCUAAGGAUAAAAACCUUGCAAAGCCUUUGAAAGAAAAAGAUGAUUUUGAAGGGAAAAUCCAAUGUUACAAGUGUAGAGGCCACGGUCAUAUUGCAAUGGAUUGUCCCUCUAAGAAAUCAUAUACAAAGAAGGCUUUGCAAGCUAAAACUUGGGAUGAUUCAUCUUCAAGUGAAUCAAGUUCAAGUGACGAAGGAAAGAAUGAACUUGCUUUGUUUACUAACACUUCUUUGCCUUCGUCUAACGUUGUUUGUUUAUCCUCUAUUGUUUCUAACUCUAGUAUUUCGCCUUCUUUGCAUGGGUCAUCGAGCGACAAAUUGCGAAAGCAAGGAGGAAUCAAACGACGAGGAUAUAGCGGAAGCGUAUCAUCAACUUCUUAUCGAUUCGAAAAAGAUGGCCAAACUUAAUAAGAAGUUGAGGCGUCGUUUGUUGGAUUUUGAAGAGGAAAACAACAACUUGAAGACAAUGAAUAAAGCUCUUGAAGAGGAGAAGGAAUCGAUUUCAAAGAAUAACUUAAUCUUCCAAGAGAAAUGUAANUUUAUCAAAAUUUUGAAAUCAAAUUUGAUCUCUUGGUGAUUAAUCUAUCUCGGUUGUGUGUGUUGGAUAUGAUAGAUGGAUAUUCGCUAAUAGACUAAAAUUUGUCAAAAUUAUUUUCAAUUGUGAGAUUGUCUAAUUUAGGGGGAGUUUGGAGUUAUUUAAAACAAAUAAACUCCUAUGUGUAAAAGAUAUGGAAAGAGUUACAUCCAAAAGGAGUGUGAGAACUACCACCACAUGUAGGAAAGAGCUAUCACCCCGGUCGUACAGCAAGUGUGUGAAGCUACCACAUGAAGAUUGAAUUGAAUAACCGAAAUGGUGUGAAAAAAAUUUGAAUAUUUUAGAUUUUUCGGAGUUAUAAGGUAUUAGGAUGAAAAGAUGCUCAAAGAGCCACCCCUGGUAUCAUAUUAGUUAAAUCUCUAUCUUGAACGGAUUGCGACAAAUUGGUGUCAAUUUUGCCGAAUUUUUAAAAAUUAUUUUUCGUGAACCGUUACAUCUUGAUGAUUUUGAAACAUUAGUUCAUUUUUUAUUUCCAAACUUUGAUGUUUCGAUGUAUUUUGAAAUCUUAUAAUAUUUUAUCUUCAUCAUAAUGAUUUUUGGAGUACAACUUUUAAUCUUUAUAAAAUUAACUUGAUUUUGAAGGAUUUUUUUAAAAAAAAUUUCAAAAUUUUCGAAAUUCGGCAAAGUGUAUUGGUCGCCACGGUUUUAAAACCGGUUACAGGUUUUCGAUUUUUCUCCAAACUUUAUCAAAACUUCUCCUUUCUCUUAAAACCUGUUACAAGGCACGUUUUUUUUUCUCGACGAUAAAAGUGGCAAAUGAAAAAGAAAAGAAAAUAAAAGGGUUAAUGGCUUCUGGAAGGAGCAGCAACAAUCCGAAGAGGCCACAGUUCUUCAAAGUGCUUCUUUCUGGUUCUUUCAAAAGUUGUGGAUUGUAUGAAGUCUUUGUUAAUUUAUCCUAUUCAUGCACUAACAUUAUUGGUACUCUCUCUGUUUUUGGUACUUUCUUUUGGCAAUUUUUGACAAAAUAGGGGAGAGAGAUGAGAUUUAAGAUUUUCAUGAACAAAGGGGAGAGAUUUGCAUGAACAAAGGGGGAGAGAUUUUCAUGAACAAAGGGGGAGAGAUUUUCAUUGUUUUUAGAGAAGUUCAUUUUUUUGACUAACUUUGUUCGAGGAGAAAGUAUUCUUUCUGCAGAUUCUCGAAGACUUAAAGACUCCUUGUGUUUAAGUCAUAGAGUUUGUUUAGGAGUUGCAAAAUUAUAAUUUUGUAUUUUCUUUGGAUUUUUCAACCGAGAAGUUCAUUGUUUUGGUGAUGGCAAUGAAUUUCAUUUUUUUUGUUUGGAGAGUUGAGCGUUGUGAGUAUUUUGAUGUAUUUUUGAGUUUUGUCACGAAAUUGCAAAAGGGGGAAAUUGUUACGGAUUUUAUGUUGUCAUAUUUCAUGAAGUUAGUCGGAGUCUUGAAUGUUUGAAGAAGAAGAGAUGAAGAUCGAAGACUCGAAGACUCAAAACAUGAAUGCACAAUGCUCGAUAAGUUUAAAUACCAUUGAUGAUGAUUUAUAAAUGUUUAAAAGUGUUUGGAAGACUUAGAUUGUAUUAAAAUGCUAAAUCUGAACAUUUUAGUGUUCUGGGACCGAUCCCUAAGAUGAGAGACCGGUCCCUGAGGGUCCUCUAUGCGUGGAAAGUUGAGGCAACCGGUCUCUGAAAAGUGAGACCGGUUCCAGAGCGAGAGACCGGUCUCUGGAAUGAGAGACCGGUUCCUGAAGCCUGUGUUUUCAGGCACGCAACGAGGGACCGGUCUCGCACUCGAGGGACCGGUCUCCCAAAGACCGGUCUCCUCGAGAAGAUCGGUCCCUGAGGACGACGUCAGUUUUUAAAAUUAGGUUUUUGUAAUCCUAGUCUAUUUCUAAGUCUUCUAAACCUAUAAAUAAGAUGUAGGGGUGUUUCUAAAACAGAACGGAGGAUAAAAUAUCUUUUUGAAACCCUAGAAACUUGUUGGGUGCAUUCUUUCUUCCCUCGAACAACAAGUUUCUAUCGGAUCAAUUCGUGUAACUCAAAAUUUCUCGUUCUUCAUAGGGAAUUGAUCCGGCUAUUGCUUAGAAAUAUCUUCUACGGUUUUUUAAUGAUUGUCUAAGCAAUAAAUCAUCAUCAAUCUUGGUAUUCUUGCUCCGGACGGAGUGUGCUCGUGGAUUCGAGUGGAUGUCGUGGAUUCGGCGUGAUCAAGGCUUCGUGGAUUCGAAGUGUGGACGUUUCGUGGAUUCGGGACGUGGCGUUCGUGGAUUCGGACGUAGGGCGUGGACAACCCGUUGGUGUGCGCGAGAUCCGGAGAAGAUAAAAGAAAGGUUUGAGUCCGUGGAAUCGGUAAAUCACCUUGUAAUCUUUUAUUCUUAGUGGAUUGUUAUCGCGUGUCGGUCCCGUAGUUUUUUACUCCUAGUUGGAGUUUUCCACGUAAAUCUCGGUGUGAUUUUUAUUUUUCCACAUUUACUGUUAUCGCAUUGAGAUUUGUGGUUUUCGGCUUUUA
Molecule: long non-coding RNA, 4458 nt
Filed under: Ananas comosus (pineapple)
Lineage: Eukaryota; Viridiplantae; Streptophyta; Magnoliopsida; Poales; Bromeliaceae
Description: long non-coding RNA (ACOM_LNC008989)
Source: RNAcentral